Molecule: long non-coding RNA, 440 nt
Organism: Momordica charantia (bitter melon)
Lineage: Eukaryota; Viridiplantae; Streptophyta; Magnoliopsida; Cucurbitales; Cucurbitaceae
Source: RefSeq, a predicted model, not a curated record
UCAAACCCUGGUUUGAGAAACGUCUCCUCAGACCCUCGUUUCUCUCCCUCUCCCGCGUUUUUCUUCUUCUCAGUUGCAACGCCUUCUCUCGUCGGCGGCGUUCAGUUCCCGGAGUUAUCUAUCCAGGUUCGUAAUGACUCUGCUCUCGAUUUUGUGGGUUCGUAAUCGCUUGGUCCUCGAUUCGGAGCGUUCUUGAUCAUCACUAAAUUAUCAAUUUGUGCUUUAGUAUGCUUUUGUAAUAUUUUCUACGAGUUUUACCCAUGGAUUUUUUUUCAAGUAAUUGAAAUUCUGUGCCCUAACCCUAAUCUUAAACUUACCCGAUCGUAGGGGCUUCCGAAUGUUGCAUCUUCUCUCAGGUUUUUCCCCAAUUUUUUUUCCCUGUUCGAAACUGGUUCCAAAUAUAUAAUCAAUGGUGAUUAUGAAUAAUCCUCGAAUUUUAA